UAAUACGGAGGGUGCGAGCGUUGUCCGGAAUCACUGGGCGUAAAGGGCGCGUAGGCGGCGCAGUAAGUAGGGGGUGAAAUCUCACGGCUCAACCGUGAAACAGCCUCCUAAACUGCUGUGCUCGAGCACGGUAGAGGCAGAUGGAAUUCCCGGUGUAGCGGUGGAAUGCGUAGAUAUCGGGAAGAACACCAGUGGCGAAGGCGGUCUGCUGGGCCGUUGCUGACGCUGAGGCGCGACAGCGUGGGGAGCAAACAGGAUUAGAUACCCUGGUAGUCCACGCCGUAAACGAUGGGUACUAGGCGUCGGGGGGAGCGACCCCUUCGGUGCCGUCGCUAACGCAAUAAGUACCCCGCCUGGGGAGUACGGCCGCAAGGCUG
RNAcentral lists this ribosomal RNA (377 nucleotides) under uncultured Gemmatimonadota bacterium. RNAcentral describes it as "bacterial SSU rRNA". It matches the Rfam family "Bacterial small subunit ribosomal RNA", at positions 521 to 896 of the family's 1533-position model. The record is from RNAcentral. Lineage: Bacteria; Pseudomonadati; Gemmatimonadota.